UAUCCCCUCUUUGAUCACCAUCAUGUUGGUUGAUCCAAUGCAGGUAGCAUAUCUACACACAUCAUAUCUUUGUCAUUUGAUUUAUGCCAGUAAGUUCUCUAAUAUAUCCACUCUCUGAGGUAGUAUGAGAGAGACUUCAUAGCAAAAACAUGCUUACAUUAAUGAAUUAAUCUGCACAUAUAUCUGUUAUAUCGAAAAAAAAUCUGCGGUGAAAAUAAACAAUACCGGGC
This 230-nucleotide long non-coding RNA is filed under the name Elaeis guineensis (African oil palm). RNAcentral describes it as "long non-coding RNA (EGUI_LNC029576)". Lineage: Eukaryota; Viridiplantae; Streptophyta; Magnoliopsida; Arecales; Arecaceae. The record is from RNAcentral.